GCCCAAGGCGGCAGCUACCAUGCAGUCGAGCGGUAACAGGAGAAAGCUUGCUUUCUUGCUGACGAGCGGCGGACGGGUGAGUAAUGUAUGGGGAUCUGCCCGAUAGAGGGGGAUAACUACUGGAAACGGUGGCUAAUACCGCAUGACGUCUACGGACCAAAGCAGGGGCUCUUCGGACCUUGCGCUAUCGGAUGAACCCAUAUGGGAUUAGCUAGUAGGUGGGGUAAUGGCUCACCUAGGCGACGAUCUCUAGCUGGUCUGAGAGGAUGAUCAGCCACACUGGGACUGAGACACGGCCCAGACUCCUACGGGAGGCAGCAGUGGGGAAUAUUGCACAAUGGGCGCAAGCCUGAUGCAGCCAUGCCGCGUGUAUGAAGAAGGCCUUAGGGUUGUAAAGUACUUUCAGCGGGGAGGAAGGUGUUAAGAUUAAUACUCUUAGCAAUUGACGUUACCCGCAGAAGAAGCACCGGCUAACUCCGUGCCAGCAGCCGCGGUAAUACGGAGGGUGCAAGCGUUC
RNAcentral lists this ribosomal RNA (517 nucleotides) under Proteus hauseri. Its description in RNAcentral is "bacterial SSU rRNA". It matches the Rfam family "Bacterial small subunit ribosomal RNA", at positions 38 to 536 of the family's 1533-position model. The record is from RNAcentral. Lineage: Bacteria; Pseudomonadati; Pseudomonadota; Gammaproteobacteria; Enterobacterales; Morganellaceae.